GCAAGCCGAGGGGUAAGGUUCCGCUUGCGGAACACACGACCGGCGCACGGGUGAGUAACGCGUAUGCAACUUACCCUCUACUGGGGCAUAGCUCCGAGAAAUCGGAAUUAAUACCCCAUAAUAUCUUAGAUUCGCAUGUUUUUAAGAUUAAAGUUCCAACGGUAGAGGAUGGGCAUGCGUGACAUUAGUUUGUUGGUGAGGUAAAGGCUCACCAAGACUACGAUGUCUAGGGGGUCUUAAAGGAUGAUC
This 249-nucleotide ribosomal RNA is filed under the name uncultured bacterium. RNAcentral's name for it is "partial 16S ribosomal RNA". It matches the Rfam family "Bacterial small subunit ribosomal RNA", at positions 57 to 305 of the family's 1533-position model. The record is from RNAcentral.